GAUGAACGCUGGCGGCGUGCCUAAUACAUGCAAGUCGAGCGAACUGAUAAGGAGCUUGCUCCCUUGACGUUAGCGGCGGACGGGUGAGUAACACGUGGGUAACCUACCUAUAAGACUGGAAUAACUCCGGGAAACCGGGGCUAAUGCCGGAUAACAUUUAGAACCGCAUGGUUCUAAAGUGAAAGAUGGUUUUGCUAUCACUUAUAGAUGGACCCGCGCCGUAUUAGCUAGUUGGUAAGGUAACGGCUUACCAAGGCAACGAUACGUAGCCGACCUGAGAGGGUGAUCGGCCACACUGGAACUGAGACACGGUCCAGACUCCUACGGGAGGCAGCAGUAGGGAAUCUUCCGCAAAGGGCGAAAGCCUGACGGAGCAACGCCGCGUGAGUGAUGAAGGUCUUCGGAUCGUAAAACUCUGUUAUUAGGGAAGAACAAAUGUGUAAGUAACUGUGCACGUCUUGACGGUACCUAAUCAGAAAGCCACGGCUAACUACGUG
Molecule: ribosomal RNA, 497 nt
Filed under: uncultured bacterium
Lineage: Bacteria
Description: partial 16S ribosomal RNA
Rfam family: Bacterial small subunit ribosomal RNA
Source: RNAcentral